This 393-nucleotide ribosomal RNA is filed under the name uncultured bacterium. RNAcentral's name for it is "partial 16S ribosomal RNA". It matches the Rfam family "Bacterial small subunit ribosomal RNA", at positions 523 to 918 of the family's 1533-position model. The record is from RNAcentral.
AUACGGAGGAUGCAAGCGUUAUCCGGAUUUAUUGGGUUUAAAGGGUGCGUAGGCUGUUUGGAAAGUCAGGGGUGAAAGCCCGGCGCCUAACGCCGGAACUGCCUUUGAUACUUCCAAGCUGGAAUACGGAUGCCGUGGGAGGAAUGAGUAGUGUAGCGGUGAAAUGCAUAGAUAUUACUCAGAACACCGAUUGCGAAGGCAUCUCACGAAUCCGUCAUUGACGCUGAGGCACGAAAGCGUGGGGAUCAAACAGGAUUAGAUACCCUGGUAGUCCACGCAGUAAACGAUGAUAACUAACCGUCGGCGAUACACAGUCGGUGGCCAAGCGAAAGCGAUAAGUUAUCCACCUGGGGAGUACGUUCGCAAGAAUGAAACUCAAAGGAAUUGACGGGG